This 17-nucleotide transfer RNA is filed under the name Sanguirana luzonensis (Luzon frog). Its description in RNAcentral is "partial tRNA-Phe". Lineage: Eukaryota; Metazoa; Chordata; Amphibia; Anura; Ranidae. The record is from RNAcentral.
AAAAGUCCUGAGGGCAC